Molecule: ribosomal RNA, 901 nt
Filed under: Chromadoridae sp. 5 TJP-2019
Lineage: Eukaryota; Metazoa; Nematoda; Chromadorea; Chromadorida; Chromadoridae
Description: SSU rRNA
Rfam family: Eukaryotic small subunit ribosomal RNA
Source: RNAcentral
AUGCAUGUCUAAGAAUAAACCGAAUAUGGUAAAUCCGCGAAUGGCUCAUUACAACAGCCAUAAUUUAUUGGAUCUGAAAUCCUUACUUGGAUACCUGUGGUAAUUCUAGAGCUAAUACACGCACUCAAGCCCUGACUUCGGAAAGGGCGCAUUUAUUAGAACAAGACCAAUUGGCUUCGGCCAUCUAUUGGUGAAUCUGAAUAACUACGCAGAUCGCACAGGCUCGUCCUGGCGACAUAUCCUUCAAGUGUCUGCCUUAUCAACUGUCGAUGGUAGUUUAUUGGACUACCAUGGUUGUAACGGGUAACGGAGAAUUAGGGUUCGACUCCGGAGAGGGAGCCUGAGAAACGGCUACCACAUCCAAGGAAGGCAGCAGGCGCGCAAAUUACCCACUCUCAGCUCGAGGAGGUAGUGACGAAAAAUAACGAGACAGUCUUCUAUGAGGUCUGUCAUCGGAAUGGGUACAAUUUAAACCCUUUAACGAGGAUCUAUUGGAGGGCAAGUCUGGUGCCAGCAGCCGCGGUAAUUCCAGCUCCAAUAGCGUAUAUUAAAGUUGUUGCGGUUAAAAAGCUCGUAGUUGGAUCUGCGACCAUCAAGACCGGUAGCCCAUUGGGUUUCACUGGUUCUUGUGGUCUCCUUACUGGUUUUUCCUUGGUGCUCUUAACUGAGUGCCUUGGUUGGCUAGUGCUUUUACUUUGAAAAAAUUAGAGUGCUCAAAGCAGGCGUUUGCCUGAAUAGUGGUGCAUGGAAUAAUGGAAUAGGACCUCGGUUCUAUUUUGUUGGUUUUCGGAGCUCGAGGUAAUGAUUAAGAGGGACAGACGGGGGCAUUCGUACUGCUGCGUUAGAGGUGAAAUUCUUGGAUCGCAGCAUGACGAACAACUGCGAAAGCAUUUGCCAAGAA